Molecule: ribosomal RNA, 1452 nt
Filed under: uncultured bacterium
Lineage: Bacteria
Description: partial 16S ribosomal RNA
Rfam family: Bacterial small subunit ribosomal RNA
Source: RNAcentral
UCAUGGCUCAGGACUAACGCUGGCGGUAUGCCUUAGACAUGCAAGUCGAACGAGUUUCCGGGCUUGCUCGGAAGCUAGUGGCGAACGGCUGAGUAACGCGUAGGUGACCUACCCCGUAGUGUGGAAUAACUGCCCGAAAGGGUAGCUAAUACCGCAUGUUGAGCCGACAUCGAUGUCGUCUCCAAAGCAGAAAUGCGCUAUGGGCGGGGCCUGCGUUCGAUUAGCUAGUUGGUGGGGUAAUGGCUCACCAAGGCGACGAUCGAUAGGUGGUCUGAGAGGACGAUCACCCAGACUGGGACUGAGACACGGCCCAGACUCCUACGGGAGGCAGCAGUCGGGAAUUUUGCGCAAUGGGGGAAACCCUGACGCAGCAAUACCGCGUGUGGGAUGAAGGCCUUCGGGUCGUAAACCACUUUUUUCGGGGACGAUAAUGACGGUACCCGAAGAAUAAGCCACGGCUAACUACGUGCCAGCAGCCGCGGUAAUACGUAGGUGGCAAGCGUUGUCCGGAUUUACUGGGCGUAAAGCGCGCGCAGGCCGUUGAGUUAGUUAAUUGUGAAAUCCCAAAGCUUAACUUUGGAACUGCAAUUAAAACUGCUCGACUAGAGUUUGAUAGAGGAAAGCGGAAUACAUAGUGUAGAGGUGAAAUUCGUAGAUAUUAUGUAGAACACCAGUUGCGAAGGCGGCUUUCUGGGUCAACACUGACGCUGAGGCGCGAAAGUAUGGGUAGCAAAGAGGAUUAGAUACCCUCGUAGUCCAUACCAUAAACGAUGAUUGCUAGAUGUUGGAAAUUUAUUUUCAGUAUCGCAGCUAACGCAUUAAGCAAUCCGCCUGGGGAGUACGACCGCAAGGUUAAAACUCAAAUGAAUUGACGGGGGCCCGCACAAGCGGUGGAUCAUGUGGUUUAAUUCGAAGCAACGCGAAGAACCUUACCUGGGUUUGACAUCCUCUGACAUCCGUAGAGAUACGGCUUUCGUAGCAAUACGACAGAGUGACAGGUGCUGCAUGGCUGUCGUCAGCUCGUGUGGUGACAUGUUGGGUUAAGUCCCGCAACGAGCGCAACCCUUGUCUUUAGUUGCCAGCAUUAAGUUGGGCACUCUAGAGAGACUGCCGUGGUUAACACGGAGGAAGGUGGGGAUGACGUCAAGUCCUCAUGGCCUUUAUAUCCAGGGCGACACACGUGAUACAAUGGUUGGUACAGAGGGAUGCGAGACCGCGAGGUGGAGCUAAUCUCAAAAAACCAAUCUCAGUUCGGAUUGGAGUCUGCAACUCGACUCCAUGAAGUUGGAAUCGCUAGUAAUCGCGGAUCAGCACGCCGCGGUGAAUACGUUCCCGGGCCUUGUACACACCGCCCGUCACACCAUGGGAGCUGACUCAACCAGAAGACGGUAGGGCUAACCGCAAGGGAGCCCCCGGCGAAGGUGGGGUUGGUGACUGGGGUGAAGUCGUAAC